Molecule: RNA transcript, 4501 nt
Organism: Ochotona curzoniae (black-lipped pika)
Lineage: Eukaryota; Metazoa; Chordata; Mammalia; Lagomorpha; Ochotonidae
Gene: SAP30L
Gene name: SAP30 like
Exons: 5
Source: RefSeq, a predicted model, not a curated record
CCGCGGGUUCGAGGCCGGGCCCCGCGCGGGGAGGCCGCGUCACCCCGGGGGAGCUGCCCGGCAGCGAGUUUGCCCCACUGCCGAAAGAAGGCGGGAGCCGACGGGGGCCUUCGAAACCCCCUGGCAACCCCGGCCCGGAGUCCCUAGGGAGCGGCCGCUUCCUGAGACCCCGUACGGGAACGCCAGUGUCGCAGGGUAGCUGCAGUGAGCCCCCCUCAGCAAGAGGGGCCUCCGGGUGACCCCCCGUGAACCGCCGGAGUCGACUCCGGGGCCUCUCGCCCUGGAGGUAGAGGGUUCCCGGAGACUCGCGGCCGAGAGGUCUGAGGGAGCAGGGCCUCUGGGACGCGGGGCAAGGUAGCCCUGGUGUGGAGACUGGCUCUGGGACCCUCGGGUACGGGGGGUCUCGGCGACCUGCCCCGCAGGGAGUGCGGCCGCGGAGUGGCCUGCAGGGGACCUUGCCCCGGAGGGGCCGACGCGGAGCGGGGAGAUGAACGGCUUCAGCACGGAGGAGGACAGCCGCGAAGGGCCCCCAGCCUCCGCCGCCAACGCCGCUGCUGCCGCCGCCGCCGCCGCCGCCCCGGGCUACGGCCAGAGCUGCUGCCUCAUCGAGGACGGGGAGCGCUGCGUCCGGCCCGCGGGCAACGCCUCCUUCAGCAAGAGGGUGCAGAAGAGCAUCUCGCAGAAGAAACUCAAGCUGGACAUCGACAAGAGCGUAAGGCACCUAUAUAUCUGCGACUUCCACAAAAAUUUCAUCCAGAGUGUCCGAAAUAAAAGGAAGAGGAAGACAAGUGAUGAUGGUGGAGAUUCUCCUGAACACGACACUGACAUUCCUGAGGUUGAUCUGUUCCAGCUGCAAGUGAACACCCUACGACGUUAUAAACGACACUACAAGUUGCAGACCAGACCAGGCUUCAAUAAGGCCCAGUUAGCAGAAACUGUCAGCCGACACUUCAGGAAUAUACCUGUGAAUGAAAAAGAGACCCUCGCCUAUUUCAUCUACAUGGUGAAGAGUAACAAGAGCAGACUGGACCAGAAAUCAGAGGGCAGCAAGCAGCUUGAAUGAAGACAAAGCCCUUGAUAUAUAAUGCUUAAUGCACAGGUGAUAUCUGCUACACUUAAAGACUGUUAAUUUUUAUUGUAAAUAAAAAAGUUUGAAUGAUGAAUACUGUAAAUCUUUUCGGUCAAGAGAAUUAAUAUUCUCAUGACUCAGCAUGUGUAUAGAAAGACUUUUUAAGAUAAUUGCUGGACUGAAACAAACAGGAUCAUAAAAAGAAUUACAGAAAAAUGAUGUAUUGCAGCAUUCAGCAAAAUAUUAUGUUUCUUCUACUGGAAAUGUGAGAUAAGAAAUAGUUUGGUUGUCACCUUGCAAUUGCAGGCUGCCACCUGUGAGACACCACCACCCUAGAAUGGGAUAGGGUAGAGUUGAUGGUGGGGGUGCCUUAGCAGAAUAGAACUGGGCUUCAACAUUGCCCACAGGGAAUGUAGAUGGCCUGCUUUGUUGAAAAUUUUGUUGUCAUUAUUAGUUUGACGUUGUUCCCCUCACUAGUUCUGUGCCUUUUCUACAGUGGGCACUUGAUCAGUAUUGCGUUGGCUGACCUGUCAGCAGUGCCAGCACUGUGAUGUCUGCCUCCUUGCUCUUGCUACUGAAAUGUCCACCAUUUCUAUUGCUUUGCCACUUAAUUACAGUGUGGAGAAAAUUUGAUGCAAAGAGAGGUUGCAGAUCCAAAGAGUAUUUUGGGGCAAUUGGAUGUCCCUACUUGUCAAGGCUUCAAAAACACUGAUAAAUGUUUCUCACAGGAGACAUGGUACUUUGCACACCCCUCUAUGCUUCACUUUAGAGAUGAAGUUACUUAUUAAAACUUCAGCCAGGCUCCUGGGCAAUAAAUGCUUUGACCCAAUGAGCAGUGUAGUGAUUUGGGGCUAAUGUUUUCAGAAGUAUUAAUCCUCAGUUCAUAACCACCAGGAAAGCUGCCAAGGACCGUAAGACUCCUGCUCAGAAGUUCAGCUGUGGGGUAGAAAGUCUGCUGACCUUGAAUCCCUGGGCUCUCUCUGAUAGACAGCACAUCAUGAAUUUGAGCAACCAAGGUGUGACUGCAGCAUUGCCUUCUCUCCUCUUGGUGCUCCUGGGCAAAACUGGAAUGUGACACCCAGAACUGGCAUUGUCUUGUCUAACAGUUAUGGUUCCUGCCUCUGUUCCAGCAUUGCAAGAUUCUUUGAUGUGCCCUGAAGGUGGUCACAAGAAAACAUCAGUAUCCUGCCAUUUGUGUUUUUUUCAACUUGUUUUCAAAAAACAAACAGACAAACUUUCAAAGAACAGACUCUUAGGUUGGCCGACAGCAUGUAAUAAUGAUCAUAGCUGAAUCUCAUGAAAGAUUGAAACCAAAGGAUUCAAGACAGUGUUGUAAACUGAAGAAUUUCAUUGUUGUGUUAUAGCUGCCGAGUUAUUAGAUGUUCUCUUGUAGCUAAAUAGUCACAGCUAGCCUCUUGAAGAACAGCUAGAACAGCUAGAAUGUGGAGUUGGCAUUUGGACUGUUUAUUUUGUGGGAACUUUUUGUUACUAACCUGUACAACAUCUACCCUGGUAGAAGGGAGAGAAAGUGGGGAUGCAAACUGCUUGUUGAAUGGGUUGUCCUCGGUGUGUGUCCCAGGGGAAUUUGGCCCUGGAUGUCACCUGAAAACUCUGAACCAUUACAAGAAUAAGGUCCAAAAGUUGUGAAAGGACUUUACAUUGCCUAGCCCAAUUUCCCCUUAGGUGCUGACAUGCUGCUUUACAACUAUCCCAACAAGGAGUUGAGCAGUCUGGACUUAAACACCUCUGAGGACAGAGAACUCACUACCUCCUGGGGAACCUGUUCUAUCCUUGUAAACCUCUGGCUUUUUUGUAUUCUCUGUCAUUUCCAUCUGCUCUGUGGUGCCCAUUGUGGAAUAAGUUUAUUUUGGCCAAGUACCUAAUUGCACUAUCCCAGGGCAUAAUGUGUUUGGGAAAGGAGCGACUAGGACAUAGGCACUCUUACGUUCUGACUGUCCUUGUCCCCGAGUAUUGGUCUACUUAGUUCCUUGUUGGAGGAUGUGGAAGAAACCCCAUUAGUCUGGCUGUACUCCUUUGUUCCUGUCAAAGUGGUGACAUGGGGCAGGAGCAGGGAGGAUGUUAGCACCUUGCUAAAAAAAAGAAAAUCUCCUAAGACAGAUGAGGCUUUAGUUGUGUGCUUGUCCUACAAAAACCUAAUGCUCACAGUAUCACUUAGGGUAAACUUCACCCAGAACAUUAUAAAAUGUCAUUGCUAUGCGUGAAGUUUGGAGGUCCCAUGGUUGCCAGCAGUGUGUACCUUGUGAUUCCUGUAACAACCUCACACAGUUUUCAAAAGCAAAGGUGAAGAACCUGAGAGUGGGAAGUCAUGUCUUAGAGAAGUGCCAUAGUGGAAGUCCUUUUUAAGUUACAAUUGUCCAAUCAAUUUUUAAGGAUGAAAAAACCAAAUUCACGAUUUGCUUGAGGUGAUAUAGCAUUAUCAAACUAAUUUCUAGUCCUCUUAAACUGUCCAGCAUUCAGAUCACCUUAUGAUUUAAACAAUGCAUCUAAUUCAGUCAAAAAUAAGCUGCCCUCAGACUCUAAAGAAUUUGUAACAGAGCAUAAGUCCAAGGCCACCCUGGUUCUCGGGACAAUGAACCAACCUACAGAAUGUAGGGUUAAAUUCCAAAUGAUUGGACUAGACAAGCUUUUGUAAAACCAGUAAUAAAGGGAAAACAGAUCUGUUAAUUCAAGACCAAGGUUCACAGGCUUUCAUAGGAAAUAUCUUGUCCUAGAGUCAGUUCUCAUGAAAUAGGCUUGGUGCUGAGGGGUCCAUUUUCCACCUUCCAAGCAGUCCUUUGAGAGUAUGCAGUUCAGCUGGCUCUGGCCCCUGGCCCUCCUGCUGAGUUCUGCAGUUGAGAAACAGGUGAACUGAACAUCAUGCCCUGGGGAAGUAGGGUGCCAUUUACUCCUUUCAUUAUUACAGACUGUUCCCACAAUUAUGAUUAGGAAGGGUCAAGUUGAUUGCCAUUUGAAGUAGAAUCCAGCCUGAGGCAAGGUGGGACCUUUUCUUGAGGCAAAAAAAAAAAAAAGGCUAUACUCAGUUGUUGCAUCAAGCUUAUGUCUUGACACACCUACCCUUCAGUUGCUUUCAUCUACUGAAUACAUUUACCAGCGACACAGGGCUGAACAGGAUCCCUGUUUAGCAUCGCUGUUGACCUGUGCUCAUCAGAGUAUUUUGGGGUAUGGGUCUUUUCCUUUCUCCAUUUUGUAAAUGCCUUAUUGAAAAGUAAGUGCCCUUCCAUUUCAGGCCUCCUCAUAUUGUACUUGUUUCCUGCAAAAAUUCAGGAGAUUGUGUUUUAAUUUUAUAAUCUAUGGCUCUGUACUGUUUGAAAGACUCUCAAUUCUAUGAGGUCUCUUUGUAUGUAUGUGACUUUCAUGCUGCAGUAUCGCACAGAUGAGAUGGCUCUUAAUAAACGAUCUGAAUGAGUAAAA